AGUUUGAUCCUGGCUCAGAACGAACGCUGGCGGCAUGCCUAACACAUGCAAGUCGAACGAACCCUUCGGGGUUAGUGGCGCACGGGUGCGUAACACGUGGGAAUCUGCCCUUUGCUUCGGAAUAACAGUUAGAAAUGACUGCUAAUACCGGAUGAUGUCGUAAGACCAAAGAUUUAUCGGCAAAGGAUGAGCCCGCGUAGGAUUAGGUAGUUGGUGGGGUAAAGGCCUACCAAGCCGACGAUCCUUAGCUGGUCUGAGAGGAUGAUCAGCCACACUGGGACUGAGACACGGCCCAGACUCCUACGGGAGGCAGCAGUGGGGAAUAUUGGACAAUGGGCGAAAGCCUGAUCCAGCAAUGCCGCGUGAGUGAUGAAGGCCUUCGGGUUGUAAAGCUCUUUUACCAGGGAUGAUAAUGACAGUACCUGGAGAAUAAGCUCCGGCUAACUCCGUG
Molecule: ribosomal RNA, 451 nt
Filed under: uncultured bacterium
Lineage: Bacteria
Description: bacterial SSU rRNA
Rfam family: Bacterial small subunit ribosomal RNA
Source: RNAcentral